This 490-nucleotide ribosomal RNA is filed under the name uncultured bacterium. Its description in RNAcentral is "partial 16S ribosomal RNA". It matches the Rfam family "Bacterial small subunit ribosomal RNA", at positions 28 to 507 of the family's 1533-position model. The record is from RNAcentral.
GAUGAACGCUAGCGAUAGGCUUAACACAUGCAAGUCGAGGGGCAGCAUGGUCUUAGCUUGCUAAGACUGAUGGCGACCGGCGCACGGGUGCGUAACGCGUAUGCAACUUGCCUCACAGAGGGGGAUAACCCGUCGAAAGACGGACUAAUACCGCGUACACUUGGGAUAGGGCAUCCUGACCCAAGGAAAUGAACUUCGCUGUGAGAUAGGCAUGCGUCCCAUUAGCUAGUUGGUGAGGUAACGGCUCACCAAGGCGACGAUGGGUAGGGGAACUGAGAGGUUGAACCCCCACACUGGUACUGAGACACGGACCAGACUCCUACGGGAGGCAGCAGUGAGGAAUAUUGGUCAAUGGGCGAGAGCCUGAACCAGCCAAGUCGCGUGAAGGAUGACUGUCCUAUGGAUUGUAAACUUCUUUUAUACGGGAAUAACAAGAGUCACGUGUGGCUCCCUGCAUGUACCGUAUGAAUAAGCAUCGGCUAACUCCGUG